GGGGGAUAACACUGAGAAAUCGGUACUAAUACCCCAUAAUAUUCCGGGAGGCAUCUUUCGGAGUUGAAAGCUUUGGUGGUAAGGGAUGGGCAUGCGUUGUAUUAGCUAGUUGGUAAGGUAACGGCUUACCAAGGCGACGAUACAUAGGGGGACUGAGAGGUUAACCCCCCACAUUGGUACUGAGACACGGACCAAACUCCUACGGGAGGCAGCAGUGAGGAAUAUUGGUCAAUGGACGGAAGUCUGAACCAGCCAUGCCGCGUGCAGGAAGACGGCUCUAUGAGUUGUAAACUGCUUUUGUACGAGGGUAAACGCAGAUACGUGUAUCUGCCUGAAAGUAUCGUACGAAUAAGGAUCGGCUAACUCCGUGCCAGCAGCCGCGGUAAUACGGAGGAUCCAAGCGUUAUCCGGAUUUAUUGGGUUUAAAGGGUGCGUAGGCGGUUUAGUAAGUCAGCGGUGAAAUUUUGGUGCUUAACACCAAACGUGCCGUUGAUACUGCUGGGCUAGAGAGUAGUUGCGGUAGGCGGAAUGUAUGGUGUAGCGGUGAAAUGCUUAGAGAUCAUACAGAACACCGAUUGCGAAGGCAGCUUACCAAACUAUAUCUGACGUUGAGGCACGAAAGCGUGGGGAGCAAACAGGAUUAGAUACCCUGGUAGUCCACGCAGUAAACGAUGAUAGCUCGUUGUCGGCGAUACACAGUCGGUGACUAAGAGAAAUCGAUAAGCUAUCCACCUGGGGUGUACGUUCGCAAGAAUGAAACUCAAAGGAAUUGACGGGGGCCCGCACAAGCGGAGGAACAUGUGGUUUAAUUCGAUGAUACGCGAGGAAACCUUACCCGGGCUUGAAAGUUACUGACGAUUCUGGAAACAGGAUUUCCCUUUCGGGGCAGGAAACUAGUGCUGCAUGGUUGUCGUCAGCUCGUGCGUGA
Molecule: ribosomal RNA, 928 nt
Filed under: uncultured bacterium
Lineage: Bacteria
Description: bacterial SSU rRNA
Rfam family: Bacterial small subunit ribosomal RNA
Source: RNAcentral